UUCUUGAAAAUUAAAAAAGUUGGCGGUAUUUUAGUCUAUUCAGAGGAACCUGUUCUAUAAUUGAUAGUCCACGAUUUUUUUUACUUGUUUUUUUAGUUUGCAUAUCGCCGUAGUUGGAAUAUUUUAAAAGAAAAUUAAUAUUCAAAAUUUAUUUAAGUAAAAAAAAUCAGGUCAAGAUGUAGUUUAUAAACAAGAAGAAAUGGGUUACAAUAAAUUUAUUUAAACGGAUUUAAAAAUGAAAUUUUUUAUUAAAGGUGGAUUUGAAGGUAAUUUUAUUAAUUUAAAUAAAAUGAUUUGAGCUCUAAAAUAUGCACAUAUCGCCCGUCGCUUUCAUUACAAAAUGGAAUAAGUCGUAACAAAGUAGGGGUACUGGAAAGUGUUCCUAGAAUAGUCAGAUUAGAGCUUGAUUAAGCAUUUUAGUUACAUUAAAAAGUUUAUUGUAAAUUCAAUAUAAUUUGAAUUAAGAAAAUUAUUUUAAUUUUUAGAAAAUUUUUAAUUAUUUUAAGUAUAUAAUUUUUUUAUUAAUAUUUUUGAACAAAUUAUUAUUAUUAUAGAAAAUUAGUAUUGUGAAAGAAUUUAUAAAAUAUUUAAAAGAAUAAUUAAUUUUUUGUACCUGGUUUUUCAGGGAAANNNNNNNNNNNNNNNNNUCUCGAAUUAAUAAGAGCUAUUUUUUCAUAAAUAUUUAUGUUGCAUAAUGAUUUAAAAUGAAAAUAUUGAAGUGAAAUAUUAUUCGAUUAUUAAUAUAUCUAGUUUUUUAAGAAAUAAAUUUAAUUUAUUUAUUAUUUAAUAUUAAAUUAAAUUUUUAAUUUAAUAUUAUUAAUAUAUUAUAUUUUAAGGGAUAAGCUUUAAAAUAUUUUUUUUAAGAAAAUUAAUUUUGUUGAUUAUGUAGAAUUGAAAGUUUUUAUCUUUAAAAGUGUGUUAUAACUAUUUUUAUAAUUAAUACAAUUUUUAUUUAUUUUAAAAUUUUGUAUUAAAAUUUAAUUUUAAAUUUAAAAAAAUUAGUAAUAAUGAUAAGAUUAGUAUAAAAAAAUUUGUUUAUUUUUUUAUUGAUAAAAGGUUAAAUAAAGGAAUUCGGCAAAUUUAUUUUCCACCUGUUUAUUAAAAACAUGUCUUUUUGUUUAUUAAUUUAAAGUCUGGCCUGCCCUAUGAAUAAUAUUUUAAAUGGCCGCGGUAUUUUGACCGUGCAAAGGUAGCAUAAUCAUUAGUUUUUUAAUUGAAAGCUGGAAUGAAAGGUUAAAUGAGAAAAUUACUGUCUCUAUUUAAAUUUAUUAAAAAUUUAUUUUUAAGUUAAAAAGCUUAGAUUAAAAUUGAAGACGAGAAGACCCUAUAGAGUUUUAUUUAUUUUUAUUAAUAUUUUUUAAGAAUUAAA
This 1369-nucleotide ribosomal RNA is filed under the name Notionomus australis. RNAcentral's name for it is "partial 16S ribosomal RNA". The record is from RNAcentral. Lineage: Eukaryota; Metazoa; Arthropoda; Insecta; Coleoptera; Curculionidae.